UACGUAGGUGGCAAGCGUUGUCCGGAUUUACUGGGCGUAAAGCGCGCGCAGGCGGAUUGGUCAGUCCGGGGUGAAAUCUCACGGCUCAACUGUGAGCGGUCCCCGGAUACUGCCAGUCUCGAGGUGUCUAGAGGAGAGCGGAAUUCCCGGUGUAGUGGUGGAAUGCGUAGAUAUCGGGAAGAACACCAGUGGCGAAAGCGGCUCUCUGGUCCGGUACUGACGCUGAGGUGCGAAAGCGUGGGGAGCAAACAGG
This 253-nucleotide ribosomal RNA is filed under the name uncultured bacterium. RNAcentral's name for it is "partial 16S ribosomal RNA". It matches the Rfam family "Bacterial small subunit ribosomal RNA", at positions 524 to 776 of the family's 1533-position model. The record is from RNAcentral.